Molecule: long non-coding RNA, 3433 nt
Organism: Megalobrama amblycephala (Wuchang bream)
Lineage: Eukaryota; Metazoa; Chordata; Actinopteri; Cypriniformes; Xenocyprididae
Exons: 4
Source: RefSeq, a predicted model, not a curated record
GAAAACACUCGCCAAUGUCACCGUGCUCAACAAAGGAGCGCGCGCUCGCGCACGCACAAGCGGUCCCACCGGGACGCAUCGCGCUUCCGCUAUAUCGACUCCAGGGAAACAAGCUCAGGCCGGGUCCCAAACUAACCCCACACUUUAAGAGGGUAAAAAUCGGCCCCUGGUUCAAACCCAAAUCCCCCACCUCGUGUAAACCGGGACCAGUCAGAACGCUUUAUGGUUCUUCCAGAAGUUUAGUGCUUUUGAUGCAUUUUGUUGCGUUUCAUGACUGUAAAACUCAAGAGGGCAGAGUGAAGAGAGACGGUUCGUUUGAAAGCGAGAGGGAGGUAUGAAAGCUCACGGUCCGAUCCAAAAGGAACAUUUCUCAGCACCGCGACAGAACCGCAGACGGUCAGCCAAGCCAACACUCACCCACCCUCUCCGAACCCCCCCUCCGCUCUCUCUCUCUCUCUCACACACACACACACACACACACACACACACACACACACACACACACACACACACUUUUACUUAGCUAUCUAAAUGAGGACGUACCAUAGACAUCUGUUGUUUUAUAUAGUUCUAAGAAGGUUUCGCUAAUGUUCCCAUUAACAUUCCCAUUUCUAAAUGUUCUCUGGAUGUUCAAAACGUCCAGUUUUUACAAUGAUUUAAAAAAUUUUUUUUCUUAUUUAUGUGAACUUUAGGGAAAACAUCAAGGAAACAUCUCAUUUUAUAUUUUUGUAUUUAAUAAGUAUGUAAUAACGUUUAAAAGUAAACUAAAGAUUUCAGAAAACAUUUCAGAAAAAAGGUUUCAUGAAUGAUGUAUAAAUUACGUUUUGCAAACGUUGUUAAUGUUACUGGAAGAACGUUGAGAGAACCUUGCCAGAACGUUAGAGUUCUGAGAACAUUCCCUGUUAGCUGCGAACAAAAUCCUACCCUGCUGAAUGAAUAAAUAAAUAAAUAAAUAAAUAAAUAAACCAGCCUAAGACAGUUUGCUGGUUUCCCAGUCUGAUUAACUGAAAACCUCUUUAAAUCCAGCCUGAUUAUGCUUAAUUAAGGAUGUAUUUAACUAACUUCUGGGGACGUUUAGGAACUCAAAAUGUAACUAAGUAAACCCACGCACAAACUCAAACACAACAGUCAUGUGCAUGUGUGUGAGCUGGAAGACAGUUAUUAAUAGUGGGACAUGAGGGUCAGUAGUUAGUCAGUGAUUUGAACUUGCAGGUCAUCCCUUUGGUCCCCUCCACCCAUCAUAACACACACACAUUGACUUUCUCAUCUAAAUGCAUUCAUGUUUGCUUCUUGUUCAACCUCUCCCACCUCAUGAAGUAUGUGCCAUUGGAAAGAAAGUUGUUUUUCAGAGGAAGAGAGAGGAAAGGAGGGACGGAGAGGAGGAAAGAAGAGGCAGAUAAGAACCAUUAUUAAUUCACCUGACAUUUAGAUACCAUUUCCCUCCGGUCUUCUCAACGUCCGUCACCUCCAACAUCCGGUUUCCUAUUGUGUUCUGUGCUGUGCUUCCACUAGAGGGCGUCUUUAGGAUCUCUGCCCUCAUUCCCUCAUAUCAGGUUGUGCAGGGGACGGCAGGUGAUUUCAGCUCAUCAGGUUCGGGUACUAAUAAUGUAAUAAAAACAUUACUGGACUGGAGGCCCCGAUGUACUCAGACUCAAGAGAAACAUCUUGUUGGUGUCUACUAAGCUAUGAAAGAGCAACUUUUGAGCAAUAGCACCUUCCUCCGGGAAAUCACCAAUGUAUACAGCAUGUACAGCACAUUGACUUUGGGUUGAAGAUGGCAUAUGUAGAUCAGUUGGUUCAAAUCAACCAAGGACCAGCAUGUCUGGACAUCGAUGUGAAUCUGACAGAAGCAGUGUGUCCUCUCAGGUAGUGACUUACGUCUGCUGCCAGGCUCAAUGAAUGUCAGCUAUGAGUUUAAUUCACAAAGCUCCGUUAGCAAGUGCUAACGUCUUUUUGCUGCAAAUACCAGCAACUGGAGUAAAUUUAUUCCUGAAGUUCCUGGCGCAGAGACCCAACAUUCCCCAGCAAACACAAGAGUUCUAAUGUUUGCCGUUGGCUUCAGAAAAUGGAGUGACAAGCCAAAUGAACUUGUCUAAAUGGAGGAGAACACAGCGAACCCUGCCAACAAUUACUAACAGGUAUGGCACUGCGGCCCAGGAGCGCUGCAGUUGUUGGUGUUUGUUGGAGGGAUUCUGGGGUCAGUGCGCAGGGGGCGGCAGGGCCCAGAUCCUGGAACUCUGUCAGCGUUCUCCUCGACUCGCAGGAAAAGCACAGGCGGAGAUGGUUAACAGAAACAGCAAACUUACAUCAUCGUCUUGCCCUGCCACAGCUGAAAUGGAAGCAUUUGUCCUUUGCUUGAAUGGAGCUGGAAAAGAAAGUCAUGUUUCGUGCAAUUGCUUCUUUCCCUAAGUUGCAUUCGGGAAGGAGAUCAUCAUAUCCUGGAGGUCGUAUGUACCAAAUGAAUCCUCUUUUUUAAAACUUAUUCUAUGAAAUCAAAAUUGACAAUUCUUGUUUUGUUUUUUAAAAUGGAAUAUUGCUGUAUUUAUUAUAAAUGAUUCAUCCACGCACAUCAUUAUUUUUUCAAAUUCAUGUGCCUCAUAAUCUAGAAUCAUAAUAACUUCCACUUCCACUUGCAGCGAAAUCUCUUCUCUGAUGAUGUGUUUACUGGCGCAAGGGCGUGGCAACCUGUCUGAAAUCGACCAAUAGCAAACCACAACCACCAAAUCAAUUCCCUAUUGACAGAAUCAAGUCCCGCCCUACAUUUUUUCUUCAUCGAGAAGCUGUUUCACUUGGAUAUACGUCACAAUAGGGAGAAAAAGACUAUCGCAACUUCUGUUUCAUGCUGACUUUAAGCAUUUUGCCAUUUCAUUGAUAACGGCCUCAGGAAAUGACACAAGCAGAAGCGAAGCAUCCAUUGUAAUGUGUUAUAUUCACCCCUCACGUUUUGGAAAAGAAUCAUUAUAAUUUAAGGAUUUUGAUUCGCUUGAUCGUGGUUCAAAGACAACUUUUUUUUUUUUUUUUUGCAAUAGAGUGCAUAAAAUGUCCCUAUUGCUUAAAAGAUAUCAGAGAAAUAGGUGUUGUGAGAAAUCAAACCCAUCUCUGUGAUAGCACUGGACUCUAAACAGCAAGAAACACCUGGCAUUAAGAUGCAUUUUCAGUUAUCGGAUCACGAUCGGAUCACACGUUUCCCCAUUAAAAUGUUGAUGUAAAUGCACCUAAUCAUUGUGAUCUGGGACGGGUUUCACCAGCUAUUCUAAGUUCUUAUCUAAAUUGGAACAUAAAGUUGUCACUAGAAGCUUAGUAACUUAUUAUGUACUUUAUUAGAGCCUGAGCACCGAUGGUGCGAGGACCCUAUUGUAAUUGCUCAGUCAAUUAUUAUUCUUCUCCAAAAUGAUCAAUAUGCCAUGAAGUACCAAACAUACUAGAAACACGU